Molecule: ribosomal RNA, 460 nt
Filed under: uncultured bacterium
Lineage: Bacteria
Description: partial 16S ribosomal RNA
Rfam family: Bacterial small subunit ribosomal RNA
Source: RNAcentral
CCUACGGGUGGCAGCAGUGAGGAAUAUUGGUCAAUGGACGAGAGUCUGAACCAGCCAAGUAGCGUGAAGGAUGACUGCCCUAUGGGUUGUAAACUUCUUUUAUAUGGGAAUAAAACGUUCCACGUGUGGGAUUUUGUAUGUACCAUAUGAAGAAGGAUCGGCUAACUCCGUGCCAGCAGCCGCGGUUACACGGAGGAUCCGAGCGUUAUCCGGGUUUAUUGGGUUUAAAGGGGGCGUAGGUGGGUUGUUAAGUCAGUUGGGAAAGUUUGCGGCUCAACCGUAAAAUUGCAGUUGAAACUGGCAGUCUUGAGUACAGUAGAGGUGAGGGGAAUGCGUGGUGUAGCGGUGAAAUGCUUAGAAAUCACGAAGAACUCCGAUUGCGAAGGCAGUUCACUGGACUGCAACUGACACUGAGGCUCGAAAGUGUGGGUAUCAAACAGGAUUAGAUACCCGGGUAGUC